Molecule: long non-coding RNA, 384 nt
Organism: Cydia splendana
Lineage: Eukaryota; Metazoa; Arthropoda; Insecta; Lepidoptera; Tortricidae
Exons: 2
Source: RefSeq, a predicted model, not a curated record
CUACCUACCUAUUAAAAAAAAUGUUUAUUCUUUCUCGUUUGAUAUGGAGUGCGCAAAAGAAUUGCACGACCUGAUCCCAGCUUUCCCUUUCCGGACGUCCAGGCGCGAGGAGCGAAUGCACCCGUUCGUUGUUAAUAUUCCAUUUGUCCGCACAAAACGAUUUGCCUCAUCUUUUUUGGUAAGGACGAUUAAGGAAUGGAAUGCGCUUCCGUCAUCUGUGUUUCCUGGGAAAUUUGACCUCGGUCUCUUUAAAGCAAGAGUGAAUAGGCUAUUACUUACUGAGCCGGUAAGCUCCAUCAUCUUAGGCUCUGUUUUCACUUUCCAUCAGGUGUGACUAGAGCCAAUGCCCGUUCAGUUUAUUAUAAAAAAUAUAUAUACAAAGAG